This 55-nucleotide transfer RNA is filed under the name Ctenophorus gibba. Its description in RNAcentral is "tRNA-Cys". Lineage: Eukaryota; Metazoa; Chordata; Lepidosauria; Squamata; Agamidae. The record is from RNAcentral.
AGGCCUAGGGGCUAUCAAACCCAAAAUCCGACUUGCAAUCAAAUAUUACUAAACC